GAUAAACGCUGGCGGCGUGCUUAACACUUGCCAGUCGAACGAAGUUUUUCUUUCGGGAGGAACUUAGUGGCGGACGGGUGAGUAACGCGUGGGUAACCUGCCCUGUACAGGGGGACAACAGCUGGAAACGGCUGCUAAUACCGCAUAAGCCCUUAGCACUGCAUGGUGCAUAGGGAAAAGGAGCAAUCCGGUACAGGAUGGACCCGCGUCUGAUUAGCCAGUUGGCAGGGUAACGGCCUACCAAAGCGACGAUCAGUAGCCGAUCUGAGAGGAUGUACGGCCACAUUGGGACUGAGACACGGCCCAGACUCCUACGGGAGGCAGCAGUGGGGAAUAUUGCACAAUGGAGGAAACUCUGAUGCAGCGACGCCGCGUGAGUGAAGAAGUAUUUCGGUAUGUAAAGCUCUAUCAGCAGGAAAGAAAAUGACGGUACCUGACUAAGAAGCACCGGCUAAAUACGUG
This 462-nucleotide ribosomal RNA is filed under the name uncultured bacterium. RNAcentral describes it as "partial 16S ribosomal RNA". It matches the Rfam family "Bacterial small subunit ribosomal RNA", at positions 28 to 507 of the family's 1533-position model. The record is from RNAcentral.